Molecule: ribosomal RNA, 334 nt
Filed under: uncultured eukaryote
Lineage: Eukaryota
Description: partial 18S ribosomal RNA
Rfam family: Eukaryotic small subunit ribosomal RNA
Source: RNAcentral
CCCUUAGAUGUCCGGGGCCGCACGCGCGCUACACUGAAGGAAUCAGCGUGGCUUUCUCCCUGACCCGAAAGGGUUGGGAAACCCGUUGAAUCUCCUUCGUGAUAGGGAUUGGGGCUUGAAAUUGUUCCCCAUGAACGAGGAAUUCCCAGUAAGCGCGAGUCAUAAGCUCGCGUUGAUUACGUCCCUGCCCUUUGUACACACCGCCCGUCGCUACUACCGAUUGAACGGUUUAGUGAGGGCCUCGGAUUGGUCUCGGCCCGCUCUUUACCGGGCGGCGCCGUUGGCCGAGAAGACGCUCGAACUUGAUCGUUUAGAGGAAGUAAAAGUCGUAACA